GAACGCGAAGAACCUUACCAUCCCUUGACAUGUCGUGCCAUCCGGAGAGAUCCGGGGUUCCCUUCGGGGACGCGAACACAGGUGCUGCAUGGCUGUCGUCAGCUCGUGUCGUGAGAUGUUGGGUUAAGUCCCGCAACGAGCGCAACCCACGUCCUUAGUUGCCAUCAUUCAGUUGGGCACUCUAGGGAGACUGCCGGUGAUAAGCCGCGAGGAAGGUGUGGAUGACGUCAAGCCCUCAUGGCCCUUACGGGAUGGGCUACACACGUGCUACAAUGGCGGUGACAGUGGGACGCGAAACCGCGAGGUUGAGCAAAUCCCCAAAAACCGUCUCAGUUCAGAUUGCACUCUGCAACUCGAGUGCAUGAAGGCGGAAUCGCUAGUAAUCGUGGAUCAGCAUGCCACGGUGAAUACGUUCCCGGGUCUUGUACACACC
RNAcentral lists this ribosomal RNA (433 nucleotides) under uncultured bacterium. RNAcentral's name for it is "bacterial SSU rRNA". It matches the Rfam family "Bacterial small subunit ribosomal RNA", at positions 957 to 1391 of the family's 1533-position model. The record is from RNAcentral.